AUGGACAAAUCUGGUACCUCUGCUUACUCCUUCAAAAAUGGCAUAUUGAGAUUUCAUAACAAGAUUGUAGUGGGAUCUGCUACUACUCUGAGACAAGAAAUCCUCCAAACAUUUCAUAGCUCAGAGUUGGGUGGCCAUUCUGGGGAGAGGGCUACGUACCAGAGAGUGAAGUUAAUUUUUCACCGGCAGGGUUUAAAACAAGAUGUAGUGCAGUUCGUAAAGCAAUGCCCUGUUUGUCAGUUGAACAAAGCUGAGCACACUCCUUAUCCUGGAUUAUUGGAACCACUUCCUGUGCCUGAUUUUGCUUGGGCCCAUGUGAGCAUGGAUUUUGUGGAAGGGCUGCCUAAGUCUGAACACAAGAAUUUGAUUCUAGUAGUGGUUGACAGAUUCACCAAGUACUCCCACUUCAUUGCUAUGAAACAUCCAAUUACAGUACAAUCUGUUGCAAGAGCAUUUGCUGAUAAUGUGUUCAGGUUGCAUGGAAUGCCCCUAGUAAUUGUCACUGACAGAGACAAAAUUUUUACUAGUCAUCUUUGGCAACAACUGUUCAAGUCCUUGAAAAUCAAGUUGCAUUUGAGCACCAGUUACCACCCUCAAACUGAUGGUCAAACGGAAAGGGUCAACCAGUGUUUGGAGAAUUACUUAAGAUGCAUGUGUUUCCAACAAACCAGGAAGUGGCAUGGGUGGCUAUCCCUAGCUGAGUGGUGGUACAACACCUCCUUCCACACAUCACUUAAGAUGACACCCUUUCAGGCCCUAUAUGGUUUUCCUCCCCCCAUGAUUGCUGAAUCUGCCUUGCCUGAUGCAAUUUGUGAGGACAAUGAGGAUCUAUUGCAUAACAGAGAAGUGGCACUGGAGGUGAUCAAGCACAAUCUGAUAAAAGCUCAAUCUAGAAUGAAGUUCUUUGCAGAUAAAAAGAGGAAAGAAAGAGAAUUUGUAGUGGGUGACAUGGUCUAUUUGAAGCUGCAACCCUACAGACAUAAUUCUCUCAGCCUGCAUAGGCACAUGAAGCUGCAUUCUAAGUUCUAUGGCCCUUUCAGAGUAAUGGAAAGAAUUGGAAAUCAUGCUUAUAAAUUACUCUUGCCUGAGGGUUGUCAGCUGCAUGACACAUUUCAUGUCAGCCAGCUUAAAAAGCACAUAGGACCAACAGUUGUCCCUUCCCCUAUACUACCACUAGUUGGUCCUGAUGGAAUCAUCAAGGUGGAGCCUGAAGCUGUGCUGGAAAGAACCCUGGUUCCAAGGAAGCAAGGAAACAUCAGUAUUCCUGUCGUUCGGUGGCUAGUCAAAUGGACCAACAUGCCUGUGGAAGAAGCUACUUGGGAAGACUCUGCAUUCAUUCAGAAGGUUUUUCCGUCUUUUAGAGCUUGA
RNAcentral lists this ribosomal RNA (1368 nucleotides) under Triticum aestivum (bread wheat). Its description in RNAcentral is "partial small subunit ribosomal RNA". Lineage: Eukaryota; Viridiplantae; Streptophyta; Magnoliopsida; Poales; Poaceae. The record is from RNAcentral.